RNAcentral lists this ribosomal RNA (424 nucleotides) under uncultured prokaryote. RNAcentral's name for it is "bacterial SSU rRNA". It matches the Rfam family "Bacterial small subunit ribosomal RNA", at positions 355 to 796 of the family's 1533-position model. The record is from RNAcentral.
UGGGGAAUCUUGGACAAUGGGGGCAACCCUGAUCCAGCCAUGCCGCGUGAGUGAAGAAGGCCUUAGGGUUGUAAAGCUCUUUCACCGGUGAAGAUAAUGACGGUAGCCGGAGAAGAAGCCCCGGCUAACUCCGUGCCAGCAGCCGCGGUAAGACGGAGGGGGCUAGCGUUGUUCGGAAUUACUGGGCGUAAAGCGCACGCAGGCGGAUUGGUAAGUUAGAGGUGAAAUCCCGGGGCUCAACCUCGGAAUUGCCUUUGAUACUGCCAGUCUUGAGUCCGGGAGAGGUGAGUGGAAUUCCUAGUGUAGAGGUGAAAUUCGUAGAUAUUAGGAAGAACACCAGUGGCGAAGGCGGCUCACUGGCCCGGAACUGACGCUCAGGUGCGAAAGCGUGGGGAGCAAACAGGAUUAGAUACCCCUGUAGUCC